RNAcentral lists this ribosomal RNA (271 nucleotides) under uncultured bacterium. RNAcentral describes it as "partial 16S ribosomal RNA". It matches the Rfam family "Bacterial small subunit ribosomal RNA", at positions 524 to 794 of the family's 1533-position model. The record is from RNAcentral.
UACGAAGGGGGCUAGCGUUGCUCGGAAUUACUGGGCGUAAAGGGAGCGUAGGCGGAUAGUUCAGUCAGAGGUGAAAGCCCAGGGCUCAACCUUGGAACUGCCUUUGAUACUGGCUAUCUUGAGUUUGGGAGAGGUGUGUGGAACUCCGAGUGUAGAGGUGAAAUUCGUAGAUAUUCGGAAGGACACCAGUGGCGAAGGCGACACACUGGCCCAAUACUGACGCUGAGGCUCGAAAGCGCGGGGAGCAAACAGGAUUAGAAACCCGAGUAGU